AAAUAAUGUUCAUGAUCAAUGCUAUAUAUAGAGAGAAACGUAAGCAUCCAUUUAAAAUAAUAAUUAAUCUAUUUCUUCGUUUUUAUUGCAUGCAAAAUUAAUGUAAACUAACUAAUGUAAACUCUUACUUAAUCUGCAUGCAUUGAUUUAGAAUUCUCUAGGUUAGCCUGACUGGGUUUUCUGAGAUGCUUGGUUGGAUCCAUGUCUUUUAUAUAUGUUUGCAGCACAGGGGGCAGGACUCGAUGAUAGUCUCACUCCUCCCCUUGUGGAAGCCGCAGAGACUCAGUCAGAAGAACUGAACGUCUGCCUGCAUCUGAGCACUGGAGAGCCAAGUGCGCAGCCGGCUCUGUUCACAGAGACACGUCUGAAAACAGUGUGUUCUGAUGUCUUCUGCAGAGGUUUCUUGCGUGCGAGGAUGAGUUUGCGUGCCACACUGGCCUCGCGUGCGCAGAUCCCGGUCACCGGCCCCGACCUCCCCUGGGACGAGGAGGAGGAGAUUAAAAUGAGACGGGGAAGGGGAAAAAAAUACGGCGAGAAAUGGCUUCCAGAUGACCCCGAUUUGAGUUGGUUAGCUCAUUUGUAGCAGGCAGACGGACUUUGACAGGAACAAUUACAGCAGCCUGAAGCUCCACACAGCAGCAGCACAUCUCCAGCGUAAUGAAGGAUUACUCACACACACAUCUACACUCUUCACAACUUACAAUUAGUAACGUUAUCACUAUAAAUAAACUUUAUUCUGUUCUACAAUGUGGGCUUCAGUAUUAAGACUUUUUAUCGUGUAAAUGCAUUGAUUAAACAGUUCUAUACUACAAAAAAAAAAAUGACUAAAAUUAUUAUACAAAACAUAAAUUGCCAUGAAGAUGCUCCUCACAUUGUGUAAUUGUUUGGAUAAUUAGUUAUUUGGUUCGAUUUUUUUUGGUUUUGUGUAUCCUUUCCAAUAUGCCAAUUUUUGUUAUUUUUUAUUUCAAGAUAUACAACAACAAAAAAAUCCCAAGAAAUAUAUUUCCCAUAUUUAGUAUUUACGUUAAUACAUUUUAUAUCAAUACCAAUACUAUUUUUUUUUGUUUAGUUUUGAAAAAGUAAAAAAAAAUAUGAAUAUGUUUUCAAAAAAAUAUUUAAAUAAAUUUUGCCCUCAGUCCAAAAAUACUUUAAUGUCUUACAUUUUAAGUAAACGUUAUUUGUUGUCUAUAACACAUAUGAACCUAUAACCAUUUUUAUAUAUAUAUUUUUUUACGAAUUAUUAUUUAUUAUUUAUUAUAAUAAUUAUUAUAAAUAAUUAUUUGCUUGUAACAUAAAGUAAAAUAAAUAAAUACAAAAAUAAACAAUUAGUUGCUUUUCCAGUGAUUUAUUUACUUUUUUAUGUAUUGCACUUAAAAGUGAGAAUUUUUAAGUGCAAUAAUUUAUUUAUUUAUGUUGCUUGUUGCCUCAGUUUCACUUUGCAUAAGUUUUUUUUUGUUGUUGCUUAUUUGUAAUGUGCAUGUUUGCAGAAAACCCCAAGACUGGAUAAAUCUCAUGCAAAAGUGUUUUAUUCUCGCUUUAUUUCAAUGCACUGUUGGGACAGUAAACGUUUGGUCACGCUUGUCCUGAAUGCUGAAUAUCAUGCUGACAAACCACAGUCAUUUACAUGCAACCGUGCAAUUAGAGCAUUGAAACCUGCUCCAAAAGCAGCUAUAUAUCACAGUACGCCCUGGGAAGACUUCCUCAAGGGAACAUGGGAAGAGAUACGAUCUAGUUAGUGCAUGUCAUCUGUUCUGAUCUUGUUUACAGGCUAUAAAUCUGGCACUUAUGAGUGAUGUAGUGGGACAGCUUGUGAGGACACUUGUUAUCACUUACACAUUUUCUCCAGAUGCUUGGAAGUAAAAAUCAUACAAUAGAUAACAAGAAAGCAAGGUCUUUCCACCCAAAACAGAGGCAGAAUGAACCUUUCAGCACUUUAUAAUUUAAGACACCACAAGUGCAUAGAGUUCAAAUGACUUACCAGCUGAUUAUUCACAGUAGAUUAAGACAACUGGUUUGCAUUAGAAGUUUUCUGGAACGUUAUAUUUUAAUAUGCACCAACACAUUAAUUAAUUCAUCGUUAAAGGUUUGCACUAAUUUGUGUACAUUUCUAGAACAGCUGGAUGAAGCCAAGUUGAAAAUUGUUUGAUUUUGUUGAUAUACUGUAUAAGAUUUCUCUUUUUAUCACUCUGUAAAUCACAAAUUACUGUCAACAGACAGAACCCUAUACAUUUCUACCACAUUUUUAGGAAUAAAAUGUUGUCUAAAUCAAUACAUGCAAUAAAAUGGUGUACUAGAAAUAAUAAAAGAGCAAUAGUUUAUUAAAAUAAACUCUUUCAAAAAGUGAAUUUUGGAUGUUUUCUUUCAAAUAGUCAGAAACAACUUGAUAUGAAAAGCCAAAUAGCCCAAAACCUCAAAAAUGACCAGUGCAUAAAAAAACAAAUGAUGGAUUCGCCUUAAAAUAUACAUUUUCAAAGAGAGACAAUAAAAAUGUUCCCUGAGAAUCUCUCACAAUAUUGUUUACCCCAAAAAUCGUAACUUGCCUUUUGCAAAAAUACUUUUUUAUUCAAAUUUUUUAGGAAUUAAGAGUUGUAUAAAUCAGUGUGAAUUAUAUAUGAACAAAAUGCAUGCAAUGUCUCACAUUGCAAUUUAUUAAAGAAACUCCAUGAAAAUGUUCCCAGAGAAAUGUGCCUUCUUUCAUAAAAGUGAAAAACUUUUUAUAAGAAUAACUUUUUUAACUUUUUUUCCCCUGAAAUCAUCUGAAGGCUGAAUGAAUAAUCUUUCCAUUAACAUAUGUUUUGUUAAGGAGGACAAUAUUUAAAAAUCUGGAAUCUGAGGAUGCUUUUGUGCUCCAGGGUCACAUAUUAUAUCUGAAAUCUACAGAUGCAAAUAGAAGUGUAAUCGUUUUUUCCAUUAUUUCAACACAACAUGAUGUGAAAAGCCAAAUAGCCCAAAACUGAUUGACCAGAACAUGAGAAAACCCAAUGACUUUGGUUUUAAAAUUAGAUGUAAGUAAUUAAAGAGACACAAUGAAGAGGUUUAAAGCCAGUGCAAGCAGUUCUUUAAAACUAGUACAACGAUCGUUUAACAAAGAGCUCCCACAGGAUCUUUAGGAUCUCGAGAAGGAUUGAAGCGAUCCUCAGUCCGAAGCGUCUCUGGCUCCAGCUCCGAUUUCUGCAAACAUUGUGUUGAUUCUGAUUCUUGUCUAGUUAGUGGGGUUCCCUUGCUUCGUCUCGUGAGCUGCUACUCAUUCCUCAGGGAUGGUUUAGAGUCGGCCGUUAUUACGCCGCAAUCAAAUGACUCUCUGGGACACUUCACAUAAUGAACCAUUUCCUCCGGCUGAAAGCUUUCUCCAGCGAUGCCCAACACGUGUUUAAGAGUAAGACAGCAUGUCACCAUCAGCACGGUUCCCUCUCCUGUUUAUAAUCUCGCUGGAGUCAUUGCAGAUUCAGUGUAUAAUGACAUUGUCUUCUCUUCAUUCAGUAUUUGCUGACUCUGCUGGUUCCUCAGACUCUGGAGAAUCCAAGAAGAGCUGUUGUGGAGAUCAAUGAGACGGAGAUCCAGUUCUUGAGACGCUUUGAGAUGUUCAGGUAACAGCAGUAAAUGAUUCACUCGUUUCUUUCCAAGAAACAUAUGUGCUACUGACCAGGAGAUCUGGAGAUUUCCUUUAGAAAGAAAUGUCAGUAGCACUUUAUUUUACAGUCCUGUUCCUCAUGUCCAUACUAUGUACUUAUUCUAGUAAGUUCAGUAAUUAUGUAAUAACUAGGUACUAACUUAGCUUAAGCUUACACCUGGUGGUAGUUAUUGUGUAGGGAUGGACCUUCAUGCUUACUUUUUUAAUAAAAAUAUACAUUUUUGCAUGAUUCACAAUGUACAGAUUUAUAUGAAAUCGCCGCCGUGUAAAUUAAAUUAGUUCAGCAUAAAUUAGUUAAAAUAAAUUAGUUCAGCAUUUAACACCGUCAUUCCCUCCAAGCUGACCACAAAACUUGGAGACCUGGACAUUAACA
Molecule: long non-coding RNA, 4004 nt
Filed under: Carassius auratus (goldfish)
Lineage: Eukaryota; Metazoa; Chordata; Actinopteri; Cypriniformes; Cyprinidae
Description: lncRNA (ENSCARG00000064529.1)
Source: RNAcentral